Molecule: long non-coding RNA, 845 nt
Filed under: Rattus norvegicus (Norway rat)
Lineage: Eukaryota; Metazoa; Chordata; Mammalia; Rodentia; Muridae
Description: long non-coding RNA NONRATT014786
Source: RNAcentral
CCCAGAGUGGAGGGCCGCAGAGGUCAGAAAGGCCCUGGCUUCCACCCGGUUUCUUUUUCAGUCAUGUGUCUUUUUUGGGAGGACGCUGGGUUUCAGGGCUCCAGAAUCUUGAGCAAGGGACCCUUUACAGAAGGCUCUCCGUAGUGUCACUGGAUUCCGUAUAGCUUUUCUUCCAACUCCAUGAUACAGUUCCUCAGAGGAGUCCACGGAGCUGGGAGUCCUGCAGAGGACUGAGCUCUAACCCUUGUGUGCUGAGCAUUUCCUACCGUUGACUGCCACGGUGAAGAGGGAAAAGCCAGGCGAGGUCAUGGGUUGUUAGUUCCUUCCUGUUGCUCUGACAGAAAUCAUGACGAACUUACAGAAAGAAGGGUUUAUUUAGGCUCCUGGUUGGAGGACACAGUACACGAUGGCAGAGGAGGCCCAGGUGGCAGGAGCCCGAGGCCGCCGGUCACAUGGCAUCCACCAGCAGGAAGUGGCUGGCCACAUGGCACCACAGACAGGAAGUGGCUGGUCACAUGGCAUCCACAGACAGGAAGUGGCUGGUCACAUGGCAUCCACAGACAGGAAGCAGAGAGGUGAGCGCUGGUGCUCAGCUCAUCUUUCUGCUUUUAAUUCAGUCCAGGACCCGGUGCAUGGAGUCGUGGCGCCAACAUUCAGGGUGUGUGUUCCUGUCUCAGUUAAAUCUCUCUAGAAAUGUGCUCACAAACACACCUAGGGGUAUAUAACCUGGGUGAUUCUAAGUGUACUCAAGCUAUGGCUAGUACUGUGCGGGCUUGGCUCCUCCUCCACCCCCCCAACCCCCCUCCCCCGUGUGGGUGGAAUUAGUAAAAUGAGACUUACUCUGA